CCAAUAGCGUAUAUUAAAGUUGCUGCAGUUAAAAAGCUCGUAGUUGAAUUUCGGGACCAUCAUGUCGGUCGUGCCUCGGUACGUACUGGCAUUGUUGGUUUCUCCCUUCUGACGAACCAUGAUGUCAUUUAUUUGGUGUUGUGGGAAAUCAGGACUGUUACUUUGAAAAAAUUAGAGUGUUUAAAGCAGGCUCACGCUUGAAUACAUUAGCAUGGAAUAA
This 220-nucleotide ribosomal RNA is filed under the name uncultured Glomus. RNAcentral's name for it is "partial small subunit ribosomal RNA". It matches the Rfam family "Eukaryotic small subunit ribosomal RNA", at positions 591 to 817 of the family's 1831-position model. Lineage: Eukaryota; Fungi; Glomeromycota; Glomeromycetes; Glomerales; Glomeraceae. The record is from RNAcentral.